Paramormyrops kingsleyae is the source of this 628-nucleotide non-coding RNA. The record is from RefSeq and is a predicted model, not a curated record. Lineage: Eukaryota; Metazoa; Chordata; Actinopteri; Osteoglossiformes; Mormyridae.
UGUGAUAGGAAUUGAACAAAAAUCUGCAAAUAAAAAGGAGCAAGGUCACAAAGUCGUCAUUUCACUACAGCAUAAAAAUGAGUGAGGAACUGGUUAAAAACACCGAAAAAAAUGAAGAUUUUGUUGCAAAAAGAAAUGCACCGUCGGCAGAAAGCAUGACGUCGACCAAAAACAGGGUGAAGCCAGAAUCUACACUGUCAGGCCCUGUGCCUCUGCUGGGUGAUUCUGUUCUCCCCAGCUUCAAAACCAUUGGCUGUAAUAUUGAAAAAUAACAUUACAUGAGAGAGGAAAGGUAUCUGCUGUAACUGACAAAUUAGCUAGACAGAGAGUAGCUUUUUAUUACACUUUUUUGACAGGUUUGAGCAUAUAUCAGCUUUGGUGGCAUGUUUUCACCCUGUUUACCUGUCAGUUGAGAAACUAACUCUGACUUUAUGUCAGAGGUUGGGAGGGAACAUGGGUGCAGGUUGUCUCGGGCAAAAGAAUCAGAUGACUGGGUUUAUCAGGAUGAUUUAUACUGCUUGCCCUUCAAUUUCUAUGAUUUGUAGAUAUUGGUAUGUUCUGUUUUUGUGGUUUUUUUCGCUCCAGUAACCUGAGUGUCGGUGUUGACACCAGUCCCAAGUCUCUUAAU